Molecule: ribosomal RNA, 262 nt
Filed under: uncultured bacterium
Lineage: Bacteria
Description: partial 16S ribosomal RNA
Rfam family: Bacterial small subunit ribosomal RNA
Source: RNAcentral
GUCCACACCGUAAACGUUGGGCGCUAGGUGUGGGACUCAUUCCACGAGUUCCGUGCCGCAGCUAACGCAUUAAGCGCCCCGCCUGGGGAGUACGGCCGCAAGGCUAAAACUCAAAGGAAUUGACGGGGGCCCCGCACAAGCGGCGGAGCAUGCGGAUUAAUUCGAUGCAACGCGAAGAACCUUACCUGGGUUUGACAUAUACCGGAAAGCCAUAGAGAUAUGGCCCCUUUUAGUCGGUAUACAGGUGGUGCAUGGCUGUCGU